UAGGGAAUCUUCGGCAAUGGACGAAAGUCUGACCGAGCAACGCCGCGUGAGUGAAGAAGGUUUUCGGAUCGUAAAACUCUGUUGUUAGAGAAGAACAAGGACGUUAGUAACUGAACGUCCCCUGACGGUAUCUAACCAGAAAGCCACGGCUAACUACGUGCCAGCAGCCGCGGUAAUACGUAGGUGGCAAGCGUUGUCCGGAUUUAUUGGGCGUAAAGCGAGCGCAGGCGGUUUCUUAAGUCUGAUGUGAAAGCCCCCGGCUCAACCGGGGAGGGUCAUUGGAAACUGGGAGACUUGAGUGCAGAAGAGGAGAGUGGAAUUCCAAGUGUAGCGGUGAAAUGCGUAGGGAUAUGGAGGAACACCAGUGGCGAAGGCGGCUCUCUGGUCUGUAACUGACGCUGAGGCUCGAAAGCGUGGGGAGCAAACAGG
RNAcentral lists this ribosomal RNA (429 nucleotides) under Gemmatimonadota bacterium. RNAcentral's name for it is "Gemmatimonadetes bacterium partial 16S ribosomal RNA". It matches the Rfam family "Bacterial small subunit ribosomal RNA", at positions 355 to 776 of the family's 1533-position model. Lineage: Bacteria; Pseudomonadati; Gemmatimonadota. The record is from RNAcentral.